Clupea harengus (Atlantic herring) is the source of this 1658-nucleotide long non-coding RNA. RefSeq lists it as uncharacterized. The record is from RefSeq and is a predicted model, not a curated record. The transcript has 2 exons. Lineage: Eukaryota; Metazoa; Chordata; Actinopteri; Clupeiformes; Clupeidae.
GGUGAACAGACCAUGAUGAAAGAUUCUACUCCUGCAGUGAAUCUCCCCCCUGGUUGUCCUGGAUUCCUCUACUAAGAAUCUCCAUGCUGCUGUGGCUUGAGGCCCUAAACCAGACGUGUCAGAACCAUCUGGUUUGGUGUGGAGAUACUGGUGCAGAUCCACCCCUGGCUGGGUUUAUGUUUUCACCACAGCUUCAUGGAUGCAGGAACCUUUCAAAUAUGGGAGAACAAAACCACAGUGACCGCAUUAAUGAGCCACAGGUGCAUUCUGGGGCAGAAUAAUCCCCGCACUUUCACAGGGGGGCUGGGUAGUCCACCCCAGCUCCCCAAACCUUGGAUAUGUGUGAAACAUUGCAUCAUUUCUUUUGCACUCCAUGAUGCCUGGAUGAAUUGUUCACUGAAGGAUAUAGAAUGUCAUGGAUGAGGAUGUUUAAAUUUGUAGUUUAAUCUGUGAGGCAAUGGCUGCACUACAGGGCAGAAUAAUCCCUGCACCAUUUUGGGGGGGUUGGGUAGUCCACCCCAGCUCCCCAAAAUUAUGUUAAUUUUAUGGAAAUUAUGUUCUUUUCUGUGUCUGAGUACAGGAAUUUAUUGUGAUAUGCAUUUAAUCAAGGAAGUAGAUUUGAAAGUAGACAGGAAAUGUUUAUUAUCAUGUAUAAUUCCAGCUGUAUUUGUGAGGCGAUGGCUGCACUACAGGGCAGAAUAAUCCCUGCACCAUAGCAGAGGAGUUGGGCAGUCCACCCCAGCUCCCCAAAACACAGGAGUCUUCUCAGAUGUGCAGCAGAGGAUCGGACAUUGCUGUUGGCCUUGAGGACACUAUGGAGAGGGAUUCAUCUACUGAAAGCCAGACACAGACUGCAGUACUGGAGCAAUAAGACUGUGAGGUGAACAGACCAUGAUGAAAGAUUCUACUCCUGCAGUGAAUCUCCCUGGUUGUCCUGGAUUCCUCUACUAAGAAUCUCCAUGCUGCUGUGGCUUGAGGCCCUAAACCAGACGUGUCAGAACCAUCUGGUUUGGUGUGGAGAUACUGGUGCAGAUCCACCCCUGGCUGGGUUUAUGUUUUCACCACAGCUUCAUGGAUGCAGGAACCUUUCAAAUAUGGGAGAACAAAACCACAGUGGCUGCAUUAAUGAGCCACAGGUGCAUUCUGGGGCAGAAUAAUCCCCGCACUUUCACAGGGGGGCUGGGUAGUCCACCCCAGCUCCCCAAACCUUGGAUAUGUGUGAAACAUUGCAUCAUUUAUUUUGCACUUUAAGAUGCCUGGAUGAAUUGUUCACUGAAGGAUAUAGAAUGUCAUGGAAGCAGGAUGUUUAAAUUUGUAGUUGAAUCUGUGAGGCAAUGGAUGCACUACAGGGCACAAUAAUCCCUGCACCAUUGCUGGGGAGUUGGGUAGUCCACCCCAGCUCCCCAAAAUGAUGUAGAUUUUACGGAAAUUACGUUAUUUUCUGUGUCCGAAUACAGGAAUUUAUAGUGAUAUGCAUUUAAUCGAGGAGGUAGAUUUGAAGGUAGACAGGAAAUGUUUAUUAUCAUGUAUAAUUCCAGCUGUAUUUGUGAGGCAAUGGCUGCACUACAGGGCAGAAUAAUCCCUGCACCAUUGCUGGGGAGUUGGGCAGUCCACCCCAGCUCCCCAAAACGGUGGAUACCCUUGAAUACGGGAUUAUU